Molecule: RNA transcript, 1377 nt
Organism: Syzygium oleosum
Lineage: Eukaryota; Viridiplantae; Streptophyta; Magnoliopsida; Myrtales; Myrtaceae
Exons: 2
Source: RefSeq, a predicted model, not a curated record
UUCGUUGGUAGCGCAUUUUGGCACAUACUCCAUAGAAAUAGUCUUACCUUGGGAGGGGUAUUUAGUUUCCAGAUUCGGCACCACAGUUUAGUGGAAGGUUGGAAAGAAGAUGAUGCCUGCUUUUCAAUCUGUGGAAGUUCUUUAUCACGAAUCUUAUUAUAAGCACUUUUCACUGAAAAUUCUCCCGACUUUAUGGCUGUCCAAACUAGUUUAUCUUCUGUUACUCUGCUGCAUAGAGGUAUGGCUAACACCUCAUGAACAAUCUGGUCUUCAAAUAGUCUUGUUAGCAUAUCGACAUCCCAUGUUCUGUCCUUGUGCUUGAUUAGGUCUGAGACUUUUGCCGAUUCUUCAAGGGUUGCUGGUCCUCCCAAAACUCCUCUUUUGAGCCACCUGUCUUCCCGAAUACUGAUUUUUUCCCCCGUGCCAACCGACCAUAUGACUGAAUUUGAUAUUUCUUCCCGUCCCAAUAGAAUGCUCUGCCAUCCCCAAGAGGACCGAGACCCCUUCCUAGCUUGCCAGAAAGAUCUUGUAGGGAAAUAUAUUCCUUUGAGAAUUUGGCUCCAUAAUGAUGAUUGGUUUUGGGAUAACCUCCAUGCUUGUUUACCGAGCAAAGCUCUAUUGAAAGAUAUGAGGUCUCUAAAUCCCAAACCCCCUUUAUCUUUUUUUGUUUUUAGAACUUCCCACCGCUUCCAGUGAAGACCUGACUUCGAUUCAGAAUUUUUCCACCAAAAGGCUGCAACCCUUCUUUCUAUGGACCGACAAAUUGAAACUAGAAUUUUAAAUAUUGACAUCGCAUAUUGAGGAAGAGCUUGAACCACAGUCUUAAUCAGCGUUUCUUUUCCUGCCUUUGAAACAAGCCUUUACUUCCAUCCCUCCAGUUUCAUAUUGACUUUUGCUAAUAUCCAACUGAACAUUUGUUUUUUUGAUUCACCCCAAUCCGAAGGAAUCCCGAGAUAUUUGCCGGUCUUCUUAAUCUCUGGGACUCUAAGUUGAGCAGCCAUAUUAUCUCUUAAGUUCAGUGGACAGCACGAGCUAAAGAAAAUACUAGAUUUGUUUAAGUUGAUUUCUUGACCAGAUGCAUAGCAAUACUGAUUGAGGAUCAAUGCAAGAUUCUGGCAUUCAAUCAGCUUACCAUCUAAGAAGAAGAUGGAAUCAUCAGCAAAGAGGAGACUCAAACUCAAAAGAAAACAACCCAGGUUGUAGAUGCUUGCAGAUGAUGGAGUUCGUUUUCCAAGCCUUCUUCAUAGUGGCUUGAAAGGCUUGGAAAUUGACAGAAGGACUUCCAUGAAGUUUGCCAAACACUGUACGUUCACACUCUUGUAAUUUCGCUUCCGUCACAACAUUGUCUAAUACAACAAUUUUCCUACCAGUCCAGAG